GAUGAAGAACGUAGCGAAAUGCGAUAAGUAGUGUGAAUUGCAGAAUUCAGUGAAUCAUCGAGUCUUUGAACGCACAUUGCGCCCCCUGGCAUUCCGGGGGGCAUGCCUGUCCGAGCGUCAUUGCUGCCCUUCAAGCCCGGCUUGUGUGUUGGGUCGUCGUCCCCCCCGGGGGACGGGCCCGAAAGGCAGCGGCGGCACCGCGUCCGGUCCUCGAGCGUAUGGGGCUUUGUCACCCGCUCGAUUAGGGCCGGCCGGGCGCCAGCCGGCGUCUCCAACCUUCUAUUUUACCAGGUUGACCUCGAAUCAGGUAGGGAUACCCGCUGAACUUAAGCAUAUCAAUAAGCGGAGGA
RNAcentral lists this unclassified non-coding RNA (350 nucleotides) under soil metagenome. Its description in RNAcentral is "partial contains 5.8S ribosomal RNA, internal transcribed spacer 2, and large subunit ribosomal RNA". The stretch from base 1 to 120 matches the Rfam family "5.8S ribosomal RNA", at positions 35 to 154 of the family's 154-position model. The record is from RNAcentral.